GAUCAUGGCUCAGAUUGAACGCUGGCGGCAGUCUUAACACAUGCAAGUCGAACGGUAACAUAAAGAAGCUUGCUUCUUUGAUGACGAGUGGCGGACGGGUGAGUAAUGCUUGGGAAUCUAGCUUAUGGAGGGGGGAUAACCACGGGAAACUGUAGCUAAUACCGCGUAGAAUCGAGAGAUGAAAGUGUGGGACCUUCGGGCCACAUGCCAUAGGAUGAGCCCAAGUGGGAUUAGGUAG
This 238-nucleotide ribosomal RNA is filed under the name uncultured bacterium. RNAcentral's name for it is "partial 16S ribosomal RNA". It matches the Rfam family "Bacterial small subunit ribosomal RNA", at positions 15 to 248 of the family's 1533-position model. The record is from RNAcentral.